CUACGGGCGGCUGCAGUGGGGAAUUUUGCGCAAUGGGCGAAAGCCUGACGCAGCAACGCCGCGUGAGGGAUGAAGGUUCUCGGAUCGUAAACCUCUUUCAGACGGGAAGAACACAAUGACGGUACCGUCAGAAGAAGCCCCGGCUAACUCCGUGCCAGCAGCCGCGGUAAUACGGAGGGGGCAAGCGUUGUUCGGAAUCAUUGGGCGUAAAGCGUAUGUAGGCGGCCAGAUAAGUCAGACGUGUAAGCCCACGGCUCAACCGUGGAAUUGCGUUUGAAACUGUCUGGCUUGAGUACGGGAGAGGAAAGCGGAAUUCCCAGUGUAGCGGUGAAAUGCAUUGAUAUUGGGAAGAACAUCGGUGGCGAAGGCGGCUUUCUGGCCCGAUACUGACGCUGAGAUACGAGAGCCAGGGGAGCAAACGGGAUUAGAUACCCUCGUAGUC
This 442-nucleotide ribosomal RNA is filed under the name uncultured bacterium. Its description in RNAcentral is "partial 16S ribosomal RNA". It matches the Rfam family "Bacterial small subunit ribosomal RNA", at positions 339 to 795 of the family's 1533-position model. The record is from RNAcentral.